CAAUAGCGUAUAUUAAAGUUGUUGCGGUUAAAAAGCUCGUAGUUGGAUUUCUGCCGAGGACGACCGGUCCGCCCUCCGGGUGAGUAUCUGGUUUGGCCUGGGCAUCUUCUUGGAGAACGUAGCUGCACUUGACUGUGUGGUGCGGUGUCCAGGACUUUUACUUUGAGGAAAUUAGAGUGUUUCAAGCAGGCACACGCCUUGAAUACAUUAGCAUGGAAUAAUAAGAUAGGACCUCGGUUCUAUUUUGUUGGUUUCUAGAGCUGAGGUAAUGAUUAAUAGGGAUAGUUGGGGGCAUUCGUAUUUAACUGUCAGAGGUGAAAUUCUUGGAUCUGUUAAAGACGGACUACUGCGAAAGCAUUUGCCAAGGAUGUUUUCAUUGA
This 380-nucleotide ribosomal RNA is filed under the name uncultured eukaryote. RNAcentral's name for it is "partial 18S ribosomal RNA". It matches the Rfam family "Eukaryotic small subunit ribosomal RNA", at positions 592 to 976 of the family's 1831-position model. The record is from RNAcentral.